ACUGGAGCGCGCGGCUCCUCCUCCCGAUUCUCGCCUUUGGGACCCGAAGACCUGCUCCGCCUCCGCCUCCGCCUCUUGGGGCUUCCCGGGCCCGCGCGCCCUCAGAGCCACCGGGCGCUGCAACCAGACGGGUGCAAGCCUCCGUGGACUCUGGCGCUGG
Long non-coding RNA from Myotis davidii, 160 nucleotides. RefSeq lists it as uncharacterized. Lineage: Eukaryota; Metazoa; Chordata; Mammalia; Chiroptera; Vespertilionidae. The transcript is spliced from 3 exons. The record is from RefSeq and is a predicted model, not a curated record.